Molecule: ribosomal RNA, 446 nt
Filed under: uncultured Streptococcus sp.
Lineage: Bacteria; Bacillati; Bacillota; Bacilli; Lactobacillales; Streptococcaceae
Description: bacterial SSU rRNA
Rfam family: Bacterial small subunit ribosomal RNA
Source: RNAcentral
AGCAUGUGGUUUAAUUCGAAGCGAAACGCGAAGAACCUUACCAGGUCUUGACAUCCCGAUGCUAUUUCUAGAGAUAGAAAGUUACUUCGGUACAUCGGUGACAGGUGGUGCAUGGUUGUCGCCAGCUCGUGUCGUGAGAUGUUGGGUUAAGUCCCGCAACGAGCGCAACCCCUAUUGUUAGUUGCCAUCAUUCAGUUGGGCACUCUAGCGAGACUGCCGGUAAUAAACCGGAGGAAGGUGGGAUGACGUCAAAUCAUCAUGCCCCUUAUGACCUGGGCUACACACGUGCUACAAUGGUUGGUACAACGAGUUGCGAGUCGGUGACGGCGAGCUAAUCUCUUAAAGCCAAUCUCAGUUCGGAUUGUAGGCUGCAACUCGCCUACAUGAAGUCGGAAUCGCUAGUAAUCGCGGAUCAGCACGCCGCGGUGAAUACGUUCCCGGGCCUU